CUGGCUCAGGAUGAACGCUGGCGGCAGGCUUAAUACAUGCAAGUCGAACGGUAACAGGUUUUGGAGCAAUCCAAAAUGCUGACGAGAGGCAAACGGGUGAGUAACGCGUAGAUACUUUUCUUAAGUAAGGGAUAGCUGGCUGAAAGGUCAUGUAAUAUCUUAUGUGGUCGAAAGAUUAAAGCCGCAAUGCGCUUAAGAUGAGGUCUGCGUCCCAUCAGCUUGUUGGUAGGGUAAUGGCCUACCAAUGCAGAGACGGGUAGCUGGACUGAGAGGUUGAUCAGCCACACUGGGACUGCGACACGGCCCAGACACCUACGGGUGGCAGCAGUAAGGAAUUUUCGGCAAUGGGCGCAAGCCUGACCGAGCCAUGCCGCGUGCAGGAUGCAGGUCCUACGGAUUGUAAACUGCUGUGGUAGUCUACUAAGUUCUGAAGAGACUAUUAGAAAGAGGUUGCUAACUCUGUGCCAGCAGCAGCGGUAAUACAGAGACCUCAAGCGUUAUCCGGUAUCACUGGGCGUAAAGCGUUCCGAUAGGUGGUUUAGUGUGUCUGAAGUUAAAAGCUGAAGCUUAACUUUGGUUCGCUUUAGAAACUACUAAACUAGAAGAGUAAGAAGGUGGCUGGAACUCUGCAAGUAGGGGUGAAAUCCGUUGAUAUGCAGGGGAACACCAAAAGCGAAGGCAGGCCGCUGAGUACUUCUUGACACUGCUAGGACGAAAGCGUGGGGAGAGAACGGGAUUAGAUACCCCGGUAUUCCACGCCCUAAACGAUGAGUGCUAGCUUUUGGAAGAUAUCAAUCUCUUUCAGAGGCAAAGCUAACGCGUUAAGCACUCCGCCUGUAGAGUACGAGCGCAAGCUUAAAACAUAAAGGAAUUGACGGGAACCCGCACAAGCGGUGGAUCAUGUGGCUUAAUUCGAUAGUGAGCGAGGAACCUCACCUAGGCUUGACAUACAGCUGCACGUCCUAUGAAAGUAGGAUUUCUUCGAGAGUGCUGUACAGACGAUGCACGGUCGUCGUCAGCUCGUGUCGUGAGAUGUUCGGUUAAGUCCGGUAACGAGCGCAACCCCUAUCCUUAGUUAUUUAAUGUCUAAGGAUACUGCCCAAGUUUAAUUGGGAGGAAGGAGGGGAUGACGUCAGAUCAGCGUGUCUCUUACGUCUAGGGCGGCACACAUGAUACAAUGGGUAGAGUACAAUAGGACGGCAAUAGGGCAACCUUGAGCAAAUCCUAUCAAAACUUCCCUCAGUUCGGAUCGAAGUCUGCAACUCGACUUCGUGAAGCUGGAAUCGCUAGUAAUCGCGGAUCAGCCUCGCCGCGGUGAUACGUUCUCGGGUUUUGUACACACUGCCCGUCACGCCCUGGGAGUUGGAAGAGCCCCAA
RNAcentral lists this ribosomal RNA (1377 nucleotides) under uncultured organism. RNAcentral describes it as "bacterial SSU rRNA". It matches the Rfam family "Bacterial small subunit ribosomal RNA". The record is from RNAcentral.